This 970-nucleotide long non-coding RNA is filed under the name Marmota monax (woodchuck). The record is from RNAcentral. Lineage: Eukaryota; Metazoa; Chordata; Mammalia; Rodentia; Sciuridae.
GUUUGUUCCAGUCUUUAACUUUUUGCAUUAGACACUUUCCUCAAAUGCCUGGUGAUCCUUGGUUCUGAGUUUCUAUUUAGGAAUAAGGAACACAGAAUCCGACUGGAACCAAGGAACUUGGACUUGUGAGCUGCCAUGCAAGAGAAUCUAACAAGUGGAACUGCAGCCCUGGAGACAGGCACAUGAUCACAGAGCAAGGUGCUCGAAGAACCCACUAUUGCAUUCAGCAUGUGAAGGCAAUAAGACACCCCAAGUGACAACCACUUCACCAAGUCCAGUCAAACCCCAAAUGAUGAGUUGUCAUAAUAAUACUAAAUGAUGGCCAUUGAUUUAUGCCACUAAGUUAUUAAGUUAUGUGACAAUAGUUGGAAGAAAUUGGGCCUAGAAUGAGCAAAGGUCUCAGCUAGUAUUAGAUCUUGUGACUUGUAAAUUUCAGUUCAUCAUUCAAAAACAACCUUCUGAUCUCUAUUUCCUCAAAGUCUACUAGAAAAUACCCCUGUUAUAUUCUCUCUAGACAUUUUUAAAAGUUCAUCUUUCUCUGUGGUUCACAAUGGUCAUAAAAUUACAGCUGGUGUCAGUGAGGUGUAGGAACCAGCUUUGAGGCACAGAAAUCACUUGUUUGCUAAGUAUUAAGGUAACACAUAAACUGCCUACAACAAACAGUGUAGUCAUUACCUGGAUUAAUAACACUCUUCUUCUCUUAGCAUCUCAUUAGUUCACUCACUGAUCUAAAUUCAUUCCUGUGCAUUCAAAAGAAUGUUUUAAAUUAAGGGAAAUGAAAAUGAGAUGAAAUUUCCAGAGAAGGCUUCUUAGAAGACAAAACAGUCCUUUGAAAAGAGAUGCCCACAAAUAUUAAGGCUUGGAUUUUAGAAGCAGAUAAUUCAGUAUUAAAUGAUGUGCAAGGUAAUUGCUUAAAGUGCAUUUGUUUAGAUGGUGGCACAACUAUUACUCAGCUGAUACACUGUGAAGA